Molecule: ribosomal RNA, 258 nt
Filed under: uncultured bacterium
Lineage: Bacteria
Description: partial 16S ribosomal RNA
Rfam family: Bacterial small subunit ribosomal RNA
Source: RNAcentral
UACGAAGGGGGCUAGCGUUGUUCGGAAUUACUGGGCGUAAAGGCGCACGCAGGCGGAGUUGAUAAGUCGGGGGUGAAAUCCCGGGGCUCAACCUCGGAAUUGCCUUCUGAAUACUGUUAGUCUUGAGUCCGGGAGAGGUGAGUGGAAUUCCUAGUGUAGAGGUGAAAUUCGUAGAUAUUAGGAAGAACACCAGUGGCGAAGGCGGCUCACUGGCCCGGUACUGACGCUGAGGUGCGAAAGCGUGGGGAGCAAACAGGG